GACGAACGCUGGCGGCGUGCUUAACACAUGCAAGUCGAAUGGAAAGGCCCUGCUUUUGUGGGGUGCUCGAGUGGCGAACGGGUGAGUAACACGUGAGUAACCUGCCCUUGACUUUGGGAUAACUUCAGGAAACUGGGGCUAAUACCGGAUAGGAGCUCCUGCUGCAUGGUGGGGGUUGGAAAGUUUCGGCGGUUGGGGAUGGACUCGCGGCUUAUCAGCUUGUUGGUGGGGUAGUGGCUUACCAAGGCUUUGACGGGUAGCCGGCCUGAGAGGGUGACCGGCCACAUUGGGACUGAGAUACGGCCCAGACUCCUACGGGAGGCAGCAGUGGGGAAUAUUGCACAAUGGGCGGAAGCCUGAUGCAGCAACGCCGCGUGCGGGAUGACGGCCUUCGGGUUGCAAACCGCUUUCGCCUGUGACGAAGCGUGAGUGACGGUAAUGGGUAAAGAAGCACCGGCUAACUACGUG
Molecule: ribosomal RNA, 468 nt
Filed under: uncultured bacterium
Lineage: Bacteria
Description: partial 16S ribosomal RNA
Rfam family: Bacterial small subunit ribosomal RNA
Source: RNAcentral